UACGGAGGGUGCGAGCGUUUGUCCGGAAUCACUGGGCGUAAAGGGCGCGUAGGUGGCCUCUUAAGUGUGUGGUGAAAGCCCGGGGCUCAACCCCGGGUCGGCCAUGCAAACUGGGGGGGCUGGAGCACUGUAGAGGCAGGCGGAAUUCCGGGUGUAGCGGUGGAAUGCGUAGAUAUCUGGAGGAACACCGGUGGCGAAGGCGGCAUCCUGGACCGAGAUUGACGCUGAUGCGCGAAAGCCAGGGGAGCAAACGGGGAUUAGCAA
RNAcentral lists this ribosomal RNA (264 nucleotides) under uncultured bacterium. RNAcentral describes it as "partial 16S ribosomal RNA". It matches the Rfam family "Bacterial small subunit ribosomal RNA", at positions 524 to 784 of the family's 1533-position model. The record is from RNAcentral.